This 378-nucleotide unclassified non-coding RNA is filed under the name uncultured Actinomycetes bacterium. RNAcentral's name for it is "uncultured actinobacterium contains 16S-23S intergenic spacer region". Lineage: Bacteria; Bacillati; Actinomycetota; Actinomycetes. The record is from RNAcentral.
UCCGAGUUGACCCCGGCAGUCUCCUACGAGUCCCCGGCAUUACCCGCUGGCAACAUAGGACAAGGGUUGCGCUCGUUGCGGGACUUAACCCAACAUCUCACGACACGAGCUGACGACAGCCAUGCACCACCUGUGAUGGUGUCCCGAAGGAAAACCGUGUUUCCACGGCGGUCAGGAACAUGUCAAACCCAGGUAAGGUUCUUCGCGUUGCGUCGAAUUAAACCACAUGCUCCGCUGCUUGUGCGGGUCCCCGUCAAUUCCUUUGAGUUUUAGCCUUGCGGCCGUACUCCCCAGGCGGGGCACUUAUCGCGUUAGCUACGGCACCGACGGGGUCGCUCCCCCCGGCACCUAGUGCCCAUCGUUUACAGCGUGGACUAC